Molecule: ribosomal RNA, 292 nt
Filed under: uncultured bacterium
Lineage: Bacteria
Description: partial 16S ribosomal RNA
Source: RNAcentral
GGACUACCCGGGUUUCUAAUCCUGUUCGCUCCCCACGCUUUCGCUCCUCAGCGUCAGUACAGGCCCAGAGAACCGCCUUCGCCACCGGUGUUCCUCCCGAUAUCUGCGCAUUUCACCGCUACACCGGGAAUUCCGUUCUCCCCUACCUGCCUCAAGCCUGCCCGUAUCCACCGCAGACCCGCAGUUAAGCUGCGAGCUUUCACGACAGACGCGACAAACCGCCUACGAGCUCUUUACGCCCAAUAAUUCCGGACAACGCUUGCGCCCUACGUAUUACCGCGGCGGCUGGCAC